This 253-nucleotide ribosomal RNA is filed under the name uncultured bacterium. RNAcentral's name for it is "partial 16S ribosomal RNA". It matches the Rfam family "Bacterial small subunit ribosomal RNA", at positions 524 to 776 of the family's 1533-position model. The record is from RNAcentral.
UACGGAGGGUGCAAACGUUGCUCGGAAUCAUUGGGCGUAAAGCGCACGUAGGCGGCUUGUUAAGUCGGAUGUGAAAGCCCUGGGCUCAACCCAGGAAGUGCAUUCGAAACUGGCGAGCUUGAAUAUGGAAGAGGGUCGCGGAAUUCCUGGUGUAGCGGUGGAAUGCGCAGAUAUCAGGAGGAACACCGGUGGCGAAGGCGGGUCUCUGGGCCAUUACUGACGCUGAGGAGCGAAAGCGUGGGGAGCGAACAGG